RNAcentral lists this ribosomal RNA (233 nucleotides) under uncultured bacterium. RNAcentral describes it as "partial 16S ribosomal RNA". It matches the Rfam family "Bacterial small subunit ribosomal RNA", at positions 118 to 347 of the family's 1533-position model. The record is from RNAcentral.
UGAGCAAUCUGCCCUUCUCAUCGGAAUAAGCGUUGGAAACGACGUCUAAUGCCGAAUACGACCUCCUUUCGCAUGAUCGGAGGUGGAAAGCUCCGGCGGAGAAGGAUGAGCUCGCGGCCUAUCAGCUUGGUUGGUGGGGUGAUGGCCCACAAGGCGACGACGGGUAGCCGGCCUGGAGAGGGUGACCCGGCCACACUGGGACUGAGACACGGCCCAGACUCCUACGGGAGCAG